RNAcentral lists this long non-coding RNA (296 nucleotides) under Capsella rubella. Its description in RNAcentral is "long non-coding RNA (CRUB_LNC003190)". The record is from RNAcentral. Lineage: Eukaryota; Viridiplantae; Streptophyta; Magnoliopsida; Brassicales; Brassicaceae.
UCUUAGACGUAAGCAAAUCAAAUCGGUUAGCUUCCUCUCUCGAUUAUAAUUAGAUUUUAUUCGACAUAGAACCCAAGAUUUUGAUAUAGAACUGAGAAACUCAUCUCCUAAGAUUCAUUUUUUUUUUUUUCUAAUAAUCUAGGAAAAAUGGAAUACAAUAGAAUCAACAUAUUGUCAGAUUUUUUUUAUAGCUUUGAUACUCUCGUACCUUCUUGACUAGCGAUUUGGCUAAAAUAAGUGUUUUAUCGAAGAGAUGGCGAUUUCUCUGGCUCGACAUUUCAAGAGUGGGCGUCGAU